CGAACCGCCGGCAGGGGCGGGGGACCCACAUUCGGGCGCUACGGCGUCCUUGGGGUGAAGCCCCGUCGCAGACUCCGGUCCGCGGCGAGGCCGGGUGAUCUCCCACCCGAACCCGACAGCUGACCUCGCAG
Molecule: small RNA, 131 nt
Filed under: Cellulomonas sp.
Lineage: Bacteria; Bacillati; Actinomycetota; Actinomycetes; Micrococcales; Cellulomonadaceae
Description: c-di-AMP sequence
Rfam family: c-di-AMP riboswitch aptamer (ydaO/yuaA leader)
About the family: This family represents a conserved RNA structure found upstream of the ydaO and yuaA genes in Bacillus subtilis and related genes in other bacteria. The ydaO/yuaA element is thought to act as a genetic "off" switch for the ydaO and yuaA genes in its native state.
Source: RNAcentral